Unclassified non-coding RNA from Papio anubis (olive baboon), 148 nucleotides. It matches the Rfam family "Metazoan signal recognition particle RNA". From Rfam's summary of the family: The signal recognition particle (SRP) is a universally conserved ribonucleoprotein. It is involved in the co-translational targeting of proteins to membranes. The record is from Ensembl. NCBI's taxonomy places the organism in Eukaryota, Metazoa, Chordata, Mammalia, Primates, Cercopithecidae.
GCCAGGCGUGGUGGUGCAUGCCUGUAAUCCCAGCUACUCGGGAGGCUGAGGCAGGAGAAUCACUUGAACCCAGGAGGUGGAGGUUGUAGUGAGCAGAGAUGGCACCACUGCACUCCAGCCUGGGUGACAGAGUGAGACUCUGUCUCAA